Molecule: ribosomal RNA, 420 nt
Filed under: bacterium enrichment culture clone ALO1_GLFRUDD03HD6JN
Lineage: Bacteria
Description: bacterial SSU rRNA
Rfam family: Bacterial small subunit ribosomal RNA
Source: RNAcentral
GAGUUGAUCGUAGCCUCCAGAUUGAACGCCUGGCGGCAUGCCUUACACAUGCAAGUCGAACGGCAGCACGGGAGCUUGGCUCCGUGGUGGCGAGUGGCGAACGGGUGAGUAAUGCAUCGGAACGUAUCCUGGAGUGGGGGAUAACGUAGCGAAAGUUACGCUAAUACCGCAUAUUCUGUGAGCAGGAAAGCGGGGGACCUUCGGGCCUCGCGCUCUUGGAGCGGCCGAUGUCGGAUUAGCUAGUUGGUGAGGUAAAGGCUCACCAAGGCGACGAUCCGUAGCAGGUCUGAGAGGAUGAUCUGCCACACUGGAACUGAGACACGGUCCAGACUCCUACGGGAGGCAGCAGUGGGGAAUUUUGGACAAUGGGGGCAACCCUGAUCCAGCCAUGCCGCGUGAGUGAAGAAGGCCUGGUUGUAA